UCUUCUGGUUGACCUCCAGCAGGUGAAGCUGCACAUAAACUGCCUCAAUGAGACGUGGGCUCGGUGGACCCUGGAUCUCAAAGAGGCCUGCCCCAGUCUGGAGAAAAUCAUGCUGUCUGCUGGUCGCAAUGUUGUGGAUUAUAAUAGGAGUGGCUGGAUUGAGUGUGGCCCAUUAGAGACAAGGGGAAUUGGCAUCCUGAAGAACGCACACAAAAACUGCAUUAUCAAACUGAGAGGGAUCAAAACCCCAGCACCCCAGGGAGUUUACCAGGGCCGACCUGUGAAUAUUACAAUCAGUGGGGUAGAUUGCAAAGAGGACUAUUUCUAGUUUGAACAUGGAAGAGUGUUUCGAGGACCAGAAAGGUGCUAAUUAAUUGAACACAGAGUGCGUUUAGAGCAACACCAUGCAACCAUUUGCCACUUUGUGAUGGUAUAUGGUCACAUGACGACAGUUCAACACAUUCCACCAGCAACCCAGGAUUUGCACUAUGUAGUACUGUAAUACCCCGUGGAAAUUAAGGAAAAGCUUUCACGGCAAGACAUUUUCUACUGUGUUGCCAGGAGACGCCAGUUAGCGUUUUUGCAAGCUGUUAUCAGUGGCAGUCCAUAAUUUUUUUUAAAGAAAAUGUUCACCACACAUUAAUGACAAACAAAAGAUACUUAAAUUAGCUUUAUUCAAUGUACAGCACUUUUUCUUUAUUCCGGAUUAAUCCAUCUAAUAGUUUAUUGAUGACAGGGACUGGAACUCAGGUAAUGGGGACUCGAGACUUGACUCGAAAACUGGUGACUCGAGAUUUGACUGGGACUCAAGUAGGGCUGGGCCGUAUGACGGUAUAUACCGUGCAACGGUAGAAAUGUGUCUAC
Molecule: long non-coding RNA, 864 nt
Organism: Clupea harengus (Atlantic herring)
Lineage: Eukaryota; Metazoa; Chordata; Actinopteri; Clupeiformes; Clupeidae
Exons: 3
Source: RefSeq, a predicted model, not a curated record